This is a non-coding RNA of Pelobates cultripes (western spadefoot toad), 671 nucleotides long. NCBI's taxonomy places the organism in Eukaryota, Metazoa, Chordata, Amphibia, Anura, Pelobatidae. The record is from the annotation of a GenBank genome assembly.
CUCAAUCCCUCUGUUACUGUGUCACUAUACCCCACUCCCUCUAGCAUGUAAGCUCACUGAGCAGGGACUCAAUUCCUCUGUUACUGUGUCACUAUACCCCACUCCCUCUAACAUGUAAACUCACCGAGCAGGCCCUCAAUCCCUCUGUUACUGUCACUAUACCCCACUCCCUCUAGCAUGUAAGCUCCCUGAGCAGGGCCCUCAAUCCCUCUGUUACUGUGUCACUAUACCCCACUCCCUCUAACAUGUAAGCUCACUGGGCAGGGCCCUCAAUCCCUCUGUUACUGUGUCACUAUACCCCACUCCCUCUCACAUGUAAACUCACUGAGCAGGGCCCUCAAUCCCUCUCUUACUGUCACUAUACCCCACUCCCUCUAGCAUGUAAACUCACUGAGCAGGGUCCUCAAUCCCUCUGUUACUGUAUCACUAUACCCCACUCCCUCUAACAUGUAAACUCACUGAGCAGGGCCCUCAAUCCCUCUGUUACUGUGUCACUAUACCCCACUCCCUCUAACAUGUAACCUCACUGAGCAGGCCCUCAAUCCCUCUGUUACUGUGUCACUAUACCCCACUCCCUCUAACAUGUAAACUCACUGAGCAGGGCCUCAAUCCCUCUGUUACUGUGUCACUAUUCCCCACUCCCUCUAACAUGUAAACUCACUGAGCAGGGC